AGAGUUUGAUCCUGGCUCAGAUUGAACGCUGGCGGCAUGCCUUACACAUGCAAGUCGAACGGCAGCACGGGUGCUUGCACCUGGUGGCGAGUGGCGAACGGGUGAGUAAUGUAUCGGAACGUACCAUUCAGUGGGGGAUAACUAUCCGAAAGGAUAGCUAAUACCGCAUAUUCUGUGAGCAGGAAAGCAGGGGAUCGCAAGACCUUGCGCUGAUUGAGCGGCCGAUAUCAGAUUAGCUAGUUGGUGGGGUAAAAGCCUACCAAGGCGACGAUCUGUAGCGGGUCUGAGAGGAUGAUCCGCCACACUGGAACUGAGACACGGUCCAGACUCCUACGGGAGGCAGCAGUGGGGAAUUUUGGACAAUGGGCGAAAGCCUGAUCCAGCCAUGCCGCGUGAGUGAAGAAGGCCUUCGGGUUGUAAAGCUCUUUCGGCCGGGAAGAAAUCGCAUAGGUUAAUACCCUGUGUGGAUGACGGUACCGGGAAUAAGAAGCACCGGCUAACUACGUGCCAGCAGCCCGCGGUAAUACGUAGGGUGCGAGCGUUAAUCGGAAUUACUGGGCGUAAAGCGUGCGCAGGCGGUUUUUUAAGACAGGCGUGAAAUCCCCGGGCUUAACCUGGGAACUGCGCUUGUGACUGGAAGGCUAGAGUACGGCAGAGGGGGGUGGAAUUCCACGUGUAGCAGUGAAAUGCGUANAGAUGUGGAGGANCACCGAUGGCGAANGCAGCCCCCCUGGGCCCGAUACUGACGCUCAUGCACGAAAGCGUGGGGAGCAAACAGGAUUAGAUACCCUGGUAGUCCACGCCCUAAACGAUGUCAACUAGGUGUUGGGUGGGUAAAACCAUUUAGUACCGGAGCUAACGCGUGAAGUUGACCGCCUGGGGAGUACGGCCGCAAGGUUAAAACUCAAAGGAAUUGACGG
This 920-nucleotide ribosomal RNA is filed under the name uncultured beta proteobacterium. Its description in RNAcentral is "bacterial SSU rRNA". It matches the Rfam family "Bacterial small subunit ribosomal RNA", at positions 8 to 916 of the family's 1533-position model. The record is from RNAcentral. Lineage: Bacteria; Pseudomonadati; Pseudomonadota; Betaproteobacteria.